RNAcentral lists this ribosomal RNA (628 nucleotides) under Russula metachromatica subsp. tarumaensis. RNAcentral describes it as "eukaryotic LSU rRNA". The stretch from base 207 to 360 matches the Rfam family "5.8S ribosomal RNA". Lineage: Eukaryota; Fungi; Basidiomycota; Agaricomycetes; Russulales; Russulaceae. The record is from RNAcentral.
CAUUAUCGAACAAUGGAGGCACAAGGGCUGUCGCUGACUUUUAGUCGUGCACGCCCUUAGUGUCUGCAUCCCCCAUCCCUUUCACCCCUUGUGCACCACCGCGUGGGUGCCCCUUUUGGCUUUGUCUAGAAGGGUCGCUUGCGUUUUUAACACACACACCCAGUGCAGUGUAGAAUGUCUUUUAUGCGAUAACACGCAAUUAAUACAACUUUCAACAACGGAUCUCUUGGCUCUCGCAUCGAUGAAGAACGCAGCGAAAUGCGAUACGUAAUGUGAAUUGCAGAAUUCAGUGAAUCAUNNAAUCUUUGAACGCACCUUGCGCCCCUUGGCAUUCCGAGGGGCACACCCGUUUGAGUGUCGUGACAUCUUCAACCUUCUUGGUUUCUUGACCAAGAAAGGCUUGGAAUUUGGAGGCUCUUUUGCUGGCUUUCUUUGUAAAGGCUGGCUCCUCCCAAAUGCAUUAGUGGGAUCAACUUUGCCGAUCCUAGACGUGAUAAGUUGCUUCUACGUCCUUUGGAUCGCAAUGCACCUGCUCCUAACCGUCUCAUCUGACGAGACAAACUCUGUACAAAAAUCUCUUGACCUCAAAUCGGGUGAGACUACCCGCUGAACUUAAGCAUAUCAAUAA